UCGGGAAUUUUGGGCAAUGGGGGAAACCCUGACCCGGCAACGCCGCGUGAAGGAUGAAGUAUUUCGGUAUGUAAACUUCGAAAGAAUAGGAAGAAUAAAUGACGGUACUAUUUAUAAGGUCCGGCUAACUACGUGCCAGCAGCCGCGGUAAUACGUAGGGACCAAGCGUUGUUCGGAUUUACUGGGCGUAAAGGGCGCGUAGGCGGCAUGACAAGUCACUUGUGAAAUCUCUGGGCUUAACCCAGAACGGCCAAGUGAUACUGUCGCGCUAGAGUGCAGAAGGGGCAAUCGGAAUUCUUGGUGUAGCGGUGAAAUGCGUAGAUAUCAAGAGGAACACCUGAGGUGAAGACGGGUUGCUGGGCUGACACUGACGCUGAGGCGCGAAAGCCAGGGGAGCAAACGGGAUUAGAUACCCAAGUAGUCCCUGAGCGGGCUGGCAAGGCGCAU
Molecule: ribosomal RNA, 447 nt
Filed under: uncultured bacterium
Lineage: Bacteria
Description: bacterial SSU rRNA
Rfam family: Bacterial small subunit ribosomal RNA
Source: RNAcentral